CCUACGGGCGGCUGCAGUGGGGAAUAUUGGACAAUGGGCGAAAGCCUGAUCCAGCCAUGCCGCGUGUGUGAAGAAGGCCUUCGGGUUGUAAAGCACUUUCAGUGGGGAAGAAAGCCUUGGGGCUAAUACCCUCGAGGAAGGACAUCACCCACAGAAGAAGCACCGGCUAACCCCGUGCCAGCAGCCGCGGUAAUACGGAGGGUGCGAGCGUUAAUCGGAAUUACUGGGCGUAAAGCGCGCGUAGGCGGUCUGAUAAGCCGGUUGUGAAAGCCCCGGGCUCAACCUGGGAACGGCAUCCGGAACUGUCAGGCUAGAGUGCAGGAGAGGAAGGUAGAAUUCCCGGUGUAGCGGUGAAAUGCGUAGAGAUCGGGAGGAAUACCAGUGGCGAAGGCGGCCUUCUGGACUGACACUGACGCUGAGGUGCGAAAGCGUGGGUAGCAAACAGGAUUAGAUACCCGGGUAGUC
RNAcentral lists this ribosomal RNA (465 nucleotides) under Vreelandella stevensii. Its description in RNAcentral is "partial 16S ribosomal RNA". It matches the Rfam family "Bacterial small subunit ribosomal RNA", at positions 338 to 795 of the family's 1533-position model. Lineage: Bacteria; Pseudomonadati; Pseudomonadota; Gammaproteobacteria; Oceanospirillales; Halomonadaceae. The record is from RNAcentral.